GACGAACGCUGGCGGCGUGCCUAAUACAUGCAAGUAGAACGAGUGGCGGACGGGUGAGUAAUAUAUCGGAACGUGCCCAGUAACGGGGGAUCACUACUCGAAAGAGUGGCUAAUACCGCCUACUAUUGGCGCGGCCGAUAUCGGAUUAGCUAGGUGGUGGGGGAAAGGGUCACCAAGGCAACGAUCCGUAGCUGGUUGGCGAGGACGACCAGCCACACUGGGACUGAGACACGGCCCAGACUCCUACGGGAGGCAGCAGUGGGGAAUUUUGGACAAUGGGGGAAACCCUGAUCCAGCCAUCCCGCGUGUAUGAGAAGGCCUUCGGGUUGUAAAGUACUUUUGGCAGAGAAGCGGGAUCUGCAGAAUAAGCACCGGCUAACUACGUGCCAGCAGCCGCGGUAAUUC
RNAcentral lists this ribosomal RNA (405 nucleotides) under uncultured bacterium. RNAcentral's name for it is "partial 16S ribosomal RNA". It matches the Rfam family "Bacterial small subunit ribosomal RNA", at positions 28 to 526 of the family's 1533-position model. The record is from RNAcentral.